UACGAAGGGGGCUAGCGUUGCUCGGAAUCACUGGGCGUAAAGCGCACGUAGGCGGAUCUUUAAGUCAGGGGUGAAAUCCUGGAGCUCAACUCCAGAACUGCCUUUGAUACUGGGGAUCUCGAGUCCGGAAGAGGUGAGUGGAACUCCGAGUGUAGAGGUGAAAUUCGUAGAUAUUCGCAAGAUCACCAGUGGCGAAGGCGGCUCACUGGCUCGGUACUGACGCUGAGGUGCGAAAGCGUGGGGAGCAAACAGG
RNAcentral lists this ribosomal RNA (253 nucleotides) under uncultured bacterium. RNAcentral describes it as "partial 16S ribosomal RNA". It matches the Rfam family "Bacterial small subunit ribosomal RNA", at positions 524 to 776 of the family's 1533-position model. The record is from RNAcentral.